Molecule: ribosomal RNA, 495 nt
Filed under: uncultured bacterium
Lineage: Bacteria
Description: partial 16S ribosomal RNA
Rfam family: Bacterial small subunit ribosomal RNA
Source: RNAcentral
GAUGAACGCUGGCGGCGUGCCUAAUACAUGCAAGUAGAACGCUGAAGGCGGAGCUUGCUCUUCUGGAUGAGUUGCGAACGGGUGAGUAACGCGUAGGUAACCUGCCUGGUAGCGGGGGAUAACUAUUGGAAACGAUAGCUAAUACCGCAUGACAACAGUUGUUGCAUGAUAACUGUUUAAAAGGGGCAACUGCUCCACUACCAGAUGGACCUGCGUUGUAUUAGCUAGUUGGUGAGGUAUCGGCUCACGAAGGCGAGGAUACAUAGCCGACCUGUGAGGGGGAUCGGCCGCACUGAGACUGAGACACGGCCCAGACUCCUACGGGAGGCAGCAGUAGGGAAUCUGCGGCAAUGGACGGAAGUCUGACCGAGCAACGCCGCGUGAGUGAAGAAGGAUUUCGGAUCGUAAAGCUCUGUUGUAAGAUAAGAACGAGUGUUAGAGUGGAAAGUUCACACUGUGACGGUAUCUGACCAGAAAGGGACGGCUAACUACGUG